UACGUAGGUGGCGAGCGUUGUCCGGAUUUACUGGGCGUAAAGAGCGCGCAGGCGGUCGUACAAGUCGCGUGUGAAAGCCCCCGGCUCAACUGGGGAGGGUCACGCGAUACUGUUCGACUCGAAGGCAGGAGGGGGAAGCGGAAUUCCCGGUGUAGUGGUGAAAUGCGCAGAUAUCGGGAAGAACACCCGUGGCGAAGGCGGCUCUCUGGGACGGUACUGACGCUGAGACGCGAAAGCGUGGGGAGCAAACAGG
This 253-nucleotide ribosomal RNA is filed under the name uncultured bacterium. Its description in RNAcentral is "partial 16S ribosomal RNA". It matches the Rfam family "Bacterial small subunit ribosomal RNA", at positions 524 to 776 of the family's 1533-position model. The record is from RNAcentral.